AACGAACGCUGGCGGCAUGCCUAACACAUGCAAGUCGAACGAGACCUUCGGGUCUAGUGGCGCACGGGUGCGUAACGCGUGGGAACCUGCCUUUAGGUUCGGAAUAACUCAGAGAAAUUUGAGCUAAUACCGGAUGAUGUCUUCGGACCAAAGAUUUAUCGCCUUUAGAUGGGCCCGCGUUGGAUUAGCUAGUUGGUGGGGUAAAGACCUACCAAGGCGACGAUCCAUAGCUGGUCUGAGAGGAUGAUCAGCCACACUGGGACUGAGACACGGCCCAGACUCCUACGGGAGGCAGCAGUGGGGAAUAUUGGACAAUGGGCGAAAGCCUGAUCCAGCAAUGCCGCGUGAGUGAUGAAGGCCUUAGGGUUGUAAAGCUCUUUUACCCGAGAUGAUAAUGACAGUAUCGGGAGAAUAAGCUCCGGCUAACUCCGUG
RNAcentral lists this ribosomal RNA (433 nucleotides) under uncultured bacterium. Its description in RNAcentral is "partial 16S ribosomal RNA". It matches the Rfam family "Bacterial small subunit ribosomal RNA", at positions 29 to 507 of the family's 1533-position model. The record is from RNAcentral.